This 574-nucleotide ribosomal RNA is filed under the name Emericellopsis terricola. RNAcentral describes it as "eukaryotic LSU rRNA". It matches the Rfam family "Eukaryotic large subunit ribosomal RNA", at positions 1 to 586 of the family's 3401-position model. The record is from RNAcentral. Lineage: Eukaryota; Fungi; Ascomycota; Sordariomycetes; Hypocreales; Bionectriaceae.
UUGACCUCAGAUCAGGUAGGAAUACCCGCUGAACUUAAGCAUAUCAAUAAGCGGAGGAAAAGAAACCAACAGGGAUUGCCCCAGUAACGGCGAGUGAAGCGGCAACAGCUCAAAUUUGAAAUCUGGCCUCGUGCCCGAGUUGUAAUUUGUAGAGGAUGCUUUUGGCGACGCGCCUUCCGAGUUCCCUGGAACGGGACGCCAUAGAGGGUGAGAGCCCCGUCCGGUCGUGCGCCUAGCCUCUGUAAAGCUCCUUCGACGAGUCGAGUAGUUUGGGAAUGCUGCUCUAAAUGGGAGGUAUACGUCUUCUAAAGCUAAAUACCGGCCAGAGACCGAUAGCGCACAAGUAGAGUGAUCGAAAGAUGAAAAGCACUUUGAAAAGAGGGUUAAAUAGUACGUGAAAUUGCUGAAAGGGAAGCGCUUAUGACCAGACUUGGGCGCGGCGGAUCAUCCGGCGUUCUCGCCGGUGCACUCCACCGCCCCAGGCCAGCAUCAGUUCGCGCCGGGGGACAAAGGCUUCGGGAAUGUGGCUCUCUCGGGAGUGUUAUAGCCCGCUGCGUAAUACCCUGGCGCGGAC